AGAGUUUGAUCCUGGCUCAGGAUGAACGCUGGCGGCGUGCCUAAUACAUGCAAGUCGAACGCACAGCGAAAGGUGCUUGCACCUUUCAAGUGAGUGGCGAACGGGUGAGUAACACGUGGAUAACCUACCUCAAGGUUGGGGAUAACAUUUGGAAACAGAUGCUAAUACCGAAUAAAACUUCGUAUCGCAUGAUACAAGGUUAAAAGGCGCUACGGCGUCACCUAGAGAUGGAUCCGCGGUGCAUUAGUUAGUUGGUGGGGUAAAGGCCUACCAAGACAAUGAUGCAUAGCCGAGUUGAGAGACUGAUCGGCCACAUUGGGACUGAGACACGGCCCAAACUCCUACGGGAGGCUGCAGUAGGGAAUCUUCCACAAUGGGCGAAAGCCUGAUGGAGCAACGCCGCGUGUGUGAUGAAGGCUUUCGGGUCGUAAAGCACUGUUGUAUGGGAAGAACAGCUAGAGUAGGGAAUGACUUUAGUUUGACGGUACCAUACCAGAAAGGGACGGCUAAAUACGUGCCAGCAGCUGCGGUAAUACGUAUGUCCCGAGCGUUAUCCGGAUUUAUUGGGCGUAAAGCGAGCGCAGACGGUUGAUUAAGUCUGAUGUGAAAGCCCGGAGCUCAACUCCGGAAAGGCAUUGGAAACUGGUCAACUUGAGUGCAGUAGAGGUAAGUGGAACUCCAUGUGUAGCGGUGGAAUGCGUAGCUAUAUGGAAGAACACCAGCGGCGAAGGCGGCUUACUGGACUGUAACUGACGUUGAGGCUCGAAGGUGUGGGUAGCAAACAGGAUUAGAUACCCUGGUAGUCCACACCGUAAACGAUG
This 821-nucleotide ribosomal RNA is filed under the name uncultured bacterium. Its description in RNAcentral is "bacterial SSU rRNA". It matches the Rfam family "Bacterial small subunit ribosomal RNA", at positions 8 to 811 of the family's 1533-position model. The record is from RNAcentral.